This 1028-nucleotide long non-coding RNA is filed under the name Androctonus crassicauda. Lineage: Eukaryota; Metazoa; Arthropoda; Arachnida; Scorpiones; Buthidae. The record is from RNAcentral.
ACUUUUGUUUAUAAAAAUGGAAAUAUAAUCGUUUGUGGAGUUGCUUUUGUUCAGAUUAGCAAGAGCAAAAAAAAAAAAAAAAAAAUGAUUUAUGUAUAAACACAUUGUAUUCAAUAUAAAUCUCGGUUUCACUACUAUUACUCAACACUGACAAAUCUAUAUUUCUAAAAGGAAAAACUGGAGAAAGAGAACUUAUAGUGGAUACAGUUAUCAACAAGAAUAAUUUAUUUUCAUAUAGAUCAAUCAUAAUUGGUUCUGGCAAGGGAAGAAAUUAUUUCUUUCCAAUCACUUCCGCCACGAUCUGCAUAUGUGAUUUUUGUACCGAAUAUGUUUGUCUUUGAAUGACACUUUUCAAAUUCUUUAAAAGCCGAAUUUGAUUUUCCCGAAAAAAUCUCUAUGAAAAUAUAUUUAAUUUUUUUGCAAAGAAUUUACCAAGAAAUCUUAUAUAAUAUACAUAUGAAACUAUUUAUAGUAAAUAUGUUAGUGGCAACGCCGAAUUGUAAAAAUUUGAAUAUCGGUAUGAAAAUUGAGCCAUUAGAAUGCAGCAAUUCUUUGGCUUAUCCGAUAUUCCACAUCGCUAACCAUGUAGGUCUCCAUGAUUGCUAUCCGUGUAACGGACGAUUGCUUCAUCAUCGUUUGCGUUUUCUUUUAAAAAAUGUUAUUUGGAAACACGAAAAAAUGCUCGGUGCCUUUUAUUAAUAGUAUCUUUCAUCUAUCUAAUAAAAUUAUAUUCUAUGAAAACUUUAAAGUAUUUUAAGAUUUUAUUACCGUAUAAUAAUUGUAAUAAUUGUGCUAUAUAAUGAUUUAAAAUAUACUCACUCAGUGAUGGAAUAUUAUUUAGUUUUUAUAUGAAGUUUUUAGUCCUCUCCCGACCGGAAACAGGUGAGAGACUAACAUACAAAAUAGCCUGGAUUUGAGGGAUAAAAAAAAGAUUCAUAGAAGUCUUUUCUGUCGGCUAACAUCAUAGAUAUCUUUAACUACAAAUACGGUACUAUAUUUAUCAUCGAGGAUCUAAUUUUUCUUUCUAC